AUUGAACGCUGGCGGCAGGCCUAACACAUGCAAGUCGAGCGGAUGAAGGAGGCUUUUGCUUGUAUUAAGUUGCGGACGGGUGAGUAAGUCCCAGGAAGCUGCCUGGUAUAUGGGAAUAAGGUCCGUAAAGGGACCCGAAGCCACUACCCGUCCUGAUGUAGAAAGGGGGGGUUCUUUGGUCCCAACCCGUUUUGAUGAGCCUUGGUCGGAUUAGCUAGUUGGUUGGGUAAAGGCUUACCAAGGCGACGAUCCGUAACUGGUCUGAGAGGAUGAUCAGUCACACUGGAACUGAGACACGGUCCAGACUCCUACGGGAGGCAGCAGUGGGGAAUAUUGGACAAUGGGCGAAAGCCUGAUCCAGCCAUGCCGCGUGUGUGAAGAAGGUCUUCGGAUUGUAAAGCACUUUAAGUUGGGAGGAAGGGCAGUAAGUUAAUCUCUUGCUGUUUUGACGUUACCAACACAAUAAGCCACGGCUAACUUCGUG
This 484-nucleotide ribosomal RNA is filed under the name uncultured bacterium. RNAcentral's name for it is "partial 16S ribosomal RNA". It matches the Rfam family "Bacterial small subunit ribosomal RNA", at positions 30 to 507 of the family's 1533-position model. The record is from RNAcentral.